UUUAGAGUGGCAGACAAAGUGCAUUAAAUUUAAAAUUUAAAAAUAAGUAACUUUCUCUAAAG
RNAcentral lists this transfer RNA (62 nucleotides) under Falcolipeurus quadripustulatus. RNAcentral's name for it is "tRNA-Leu". Lineage: Eukaryota; Metazoa; Arthropoda; Insecta; Psocodea; Philopteridae. The record is from RNAcentral.